Molecule: ribosomal RNA, 164 nt
Filed under: uncultured bacterium
Lineage: Bacteria
Description: partial 16S rRNA
Rfam family: Bacterial small subunit ribosomal RNA
Source: RNAcentral
UAGGGAAUCCUCCACAAUGGGCGAAAGCCUGAUGGAGCAACGCCGCGUGUGUGAUGAAGGGUUUCGGCUCGUAAAACACUGUUGUAAGAGAAGAAUGACAUUGAGAGUAACUGUUCAAUGUGUGACGGUAUCUUACCAGAAAGGAACGGCUAACUACGUGCCAG